Molecule: long non-coding RNA, 1302 nt
Filed under: Piliocolobus tephrosceles (Ugandan red Colobus)
Lineage: Eukaryota; Metazoa; Chordata; Mammalia; Primates; Cercopithecidae
Description: lncRNA (ENSPTEG00000016839.1)
Source: RNAcentral
AUUUUAAUAAUACUCUUGAUAAUAAAACACAAGGAUUAAACAAAAAUAGUGACAUAAUUAAUAAUGAACUCGAUGCAAAUUUCUUUAAAAAAUAUCUUAACGAUAAGACAUUUGUUGGUAUGGCUGAAAAACAAAACGAGGACAUGCUAAAACGUAUAUUAUUAAAGGAUCUUGCCGCAUCAAGAGAUACUAUAUCUACUAAUAGCAAUAGAAAUAUUAUUAUCAAUAGAAAUAUUAAUGUCAAUAGAUAUAGUAAUAACACUGGAAGUAGUAAUAACAUUGGAAGUAGCAGUAGCAAUAGAAAUAGUAUUAGUAUAGAUAACUACAGUGAUAACAAUAGUAAUAAAUAUCUUAACGCCAGUCCUUUCAUACAUUUUGGUAGAGCGCACAAAUCUACUGGGUUCGAAAUAAAAAACGAGUUGAAUAAACAUGAGGUAACAAGAAAUACAUUUGGUCAGGAUAACUAUACUAUUCAUAGUAUGGAUCGUAAUAUAAUGAAUUAUAAGAAUAUGGUUGAUAGUAGAAAUAAAAAUAAUAAUGAUUGGGUUAUACCUAAUAGUAAUAAUAGUAUUAUGAAUAGUUGGCCCAAUAACAGAAUACCUAAUACAUCAAACGAAACAAAUGUAUUCAAAAAUACAUUAACACAUAACAAUAUUAUAUUUAAUAAUACUAUGGAUAAUAAUUUUAAACAACAUACAACAAACAAUCAGUUACCUGUAAGUCACGAUCACAAUUUGUUUAUUGAUAACAAAAACGAGAAAAAAAAAUAUCAAGAUGAACAUCAUCCUGAACAGUAUAACCGAGGAGGAGGAGGAGGAGUAGGAGUAGGAGGAGUAGGUACAGGAAUGCAUCGUACUGAACAACAUACGUGGAAUACCUCAAGUGAAUUUAUAAAACGCUCUAAUUUUUAUUCGGACAUUGGAAAACGUAAUUACAACAUGGGAAGUAACAAUAACAGAAGUAAUGAAAAUAACACAAACGAUUCACCCAAGGGUAAUUAAUUGUAGUUACUUCAGAAAACAUAGAGCAAUAACAACUUAAGUUUAAUUCGAACAUAUUGUCUGAGGUAGAUAUACGUUGAAAAAAAAAAAAAAAAAAAAAAAAAAACAGUAUAGCAUCAUAACAUCAUAACACUGUGUGAGUAUAUUAAACCCCGAUUAAAACGUAUUUUUUUUUUUUUUUUUUUUUUUUUUUCGUUAGUUUAUAACUAAAAAUAUGUACAUAUACCGUGUGAAAGCUUAUUAAGUGCUGUUAAAAAGUGACACGUGUGUAUAAGCAGCUAUGAAACUAGGCGGAUAAACA